CAGUCGUGCAGUCAUCAACUCAACGGUAUCGUGAGGUAAUUUAUUGCUUUACGUUUCCGUGUACUUUGUUGUCUGCUGGUUAGCAUCAAUUUUGAUUGUCAUAAAAAGGUUAAGGGGAUGUGGCUCCUUCGGGAGUGUUAUAACCCUUGGCGGAAUGUGACGAUUGGGAUUGAGGAUUGCAACGAUACCUUUAGGGCUGUUCCACUGGCCUUCUCUUUGGUAUCCUGGUGACGACAGCUUGCUGACGUCGUUAGGAUUCGCCUUUGAACNGGCUAGAGUGUGAG
This 284-nucleotide ribosomal RNA is filed under the name Entrophospora claroidea. Lineage: Eukaryota; Fungi; Glomeromycota; Glomeromycetes; Entrophosporales; Entrophosporaceae. The record is from RNAcentral.